This is a long non-coding RNA of Bradysia coprophila, 3352 nucleotides long. NCBI's taxonomy places the organism in Eukaryota, Metazoa, Arthropoda, Insecta, Diptera, Sciaridae. The record is from RefSeq and is a predicted model, not a curated record.
CAACACUAAAAUGAGUGCUGAAAAGAGUCGUAUUUCAAUUCUCGGUGGCACAAAUCUAUAAUCGUGUUAUACUGUGUAAACCUUUUUCUGUGCGAAAAUCUGUCGUUCCCAUUCUGAAGUUGUAUUGAAAAAUGAUGGAUUAGAUGUCCGUUUCACCUAACAAAAAUUGAAAACUUGCGACAAUUAUCUCAAUUUUCAUUGAACUAAAUAGUAAAGUAAAAAAUAACAAAAAAAAACAUAAGAAACUUCCAAAUUAGACCUUAUAAUGAAAUUGCCUUUAACCAUUUUAUAAAUUAUUAUUAUUAUUUAGAUCAAAUAUUACAAAAAGACAAAAAAUGAAACCAAAAAUCUUUAAAAAAAAAAUAUUUUUAGAUAUGCAUGUUAUCGAUAUUAAUAUACAGAGAACUGUUAGUUACAAAAUAAUUAUUAUAAAAGAGAAUAAAAAGUAAUUAUACGAUUAAAGAUAUUAUAUUAAAAUAUAUUUUAAAAAAAGGAAAAAGAGAGAAAGAAGCCAGGAUAAAGGAAAACAAUUAACCUAAGGUGAAGCUUAUUCCACACACAUACACACACAAAAACGAACUUUAUUAUAAAUGUGAGCGAAUUAACACCUAAUCCGCAUAAUAACCAUAUAUUUCAACGUAGAAACAACAACAAUAACAAAAAACGAUUAGAAAUUUCUAAUUGCGUUAGGUAAUUUUAGAUUUAUAAAUAUUAUAAUGUCGUCAAUUUGAAUAUUAAAUCUGGCGACUCCAGAUUGCACAGACAUUUCAAAUUGAAUUUUAUUUGAUACACGAAUUAAUGACUAAUUUUAGUUCGAAAUCGAGAUAUAAACAAAAAUAUUUAUAGAAAUAUUUUACUUACAAUCAGUAAAUGAAUUUCCUGUGUAGAUUAAGCAACAGCUGGUGCACAAUUACAUACGAAUAGUUUGUUUACGCCACAUAGGGAAUUUGAGCAUCACGUCAGAUUAGUUCAUUAAUUUAUGAGUCAAGUAACUAACAAGCUUCACAUUGAUGAAAGUAUCAUUUCCUUCAAAAUAGUGAUAAUAUUGCGCAAAUGAAACUGUUUUCUUUGAAAUAACUGCCAAGACUAGUUUGUCAAAUCAAACGCAGCGUCGUACAUGCAUGAUAUCCCCAUAUCAAAGUACAUUGAAACUAAAAUUCUAAAAUACAUUUGUUCAUCCACUGAUUCGCCCAAAAAGCAAACUUUGACGCGCUCUCACGCGCCGUGAAUACAUUGAGGAUACUUUAAAGAUAAACGAUGUUUGUCUAUUUCGAUCCUUUGUUGCAGAAAAUAUACCAUGCAGAAAUUAUGUGCAGGUGGCGCUGACUACACGCUGAAAUAUGAUGCUUAACGUGGUGCUUAAAUUCCUAUUAUCAAUGCUUAUGCGUAAACAAACUAUACUUAUGUGGUUGUGCACCCCGUGGUGGAUGAACAGCUGUUGCUAAUUAUUUACGAUGUCUAAUGGGUAUAUAAAUGAAAGAUAAAACACAAAUUAAUAAAUGGAUGCCAAUAGCUUAUAAUGAAAAAUAAAUUUAGACAAAUGUUUGUUUCUAGAAGGGGAGAAAAGAAGUAUUAAUUAACCGCCAACAUUAUAACAAUAUUAAUCUAGAUGAUGACUGUUUAGAAUUAUUAAAAAUUUAAAAAAAAAUUGAGAAAAUCUGAUUAUGCAUCAAUUAGAAUUAUUAAAAUUGAAAAUUAAACAUAAAAAGAGAAACUCUGUUUAUGCAUUAAAAUUGUAUAAGUCGCUGGUCGAUUUUAUUAUAGAAACAUGUUAUAAAAAACCACUUUACGAUGGUAUAUGAAUGUACUAAAUAGUUUGUGUGUAAAAAAAAAGUUUUGCAAAAUUAUAAUAUUAACAUUAUCAAGAACGAAAGUUGAAUGUUUUGAUCAAACAAAAACCGAAAAAAAUCACUAAUUUUAUUUAAUAGAAACAUGAUUUUAUCAACCCACCGCAACGUUUCAUGACAUUGAAAUGUGAUAUUCGACCUAUUCCGAAAUUGAUCAUAUUUUCAGUCAGACGGUGCUUAUAAACGACAUAACCUAACAACUGGUGGCUAGAUUUUCAUGAGUUAUUUUUAAUGUAAAACAUUAUUCAUUGUAUUUUAACGUGUGCCCACUCGGUACAUUGUGUUUACAUGGUUUACAUAGACGGUUCACUGCUAUGUAGAGUUUAGUUCGGAUGAAAAAUAUGAGCUGUAGUCUUGCUUUCGUGUAUUUAUUCGCCUCGGAUCAACAACAUUCACACGAAAACUCCACUUUUAAUCCUUAUAUGUAAAAUACUAUUGUCGAACGAAUACGAGUUGUGGUAGACUACUUGAUUUUUUGAUCGGUCGUCGAAGUGAUUUAUUUGGGUGUUUGUCUCUAAAACCACAUUUCGUCGUACAAAUUUCCUCUCUAGGUAUCAUUACUCUAAGGUUUGUCUAUCUCAGUUGUCCUGUGCACAAAACGUUGUUUAUACCUCGACAGCAAAGUGAUUUUUUGAGCACACGUCCUAAAUUUAUUAACUGGUGCUGAAAAAAUCGACUUUCCCUGUCUUGGUACAAAAAAUACUAAUCUGUUCGCCUAUAUUUCUCCUUUGGUGGCAGCAUUGCCUACAAUUUAAGUAAAUUCACUUUUCCAAUAUAAUAACUUGCAAAAUAACUCGUGAAAAUUUCGAUUUUCCGUUUGUGACAGUUUAUGUUGUCUGAAACACCGGCAUAUUAUUAUGAAAUUAAAAUUUUUCGAUUCUAAUUUAUUUACCAAGUGGACGAAAAAGGAUAGGAUACUUUACAGCGAGAGUAAAAUUCCUAUUUUUCUACGAGGUAAAUCCAACCUUUUUCAUGCUUCACGUCAAGUGACAAAACGAGGAUUUGGCCACCAACGUUGAUCGUAACAGCUGUACUUCAAUUCCAAGUUCAAAUGAAGCAAUCAUAGUAAACGUAAGUUAAUUAUAUUUUGUGGGUAAAGCUAAAAUCGCACUCAACUCCGAUUUGAAAAUAGUUCAUCCGUUUAAAUGACCGUUAGACAAAAGCAAUGAAUCAAAAUGAAUUUUUGAGAAAGAACGUCACCUAAACGGAGGCAAAAUUUAAUAGUCUCGUAAAUAGUGCUCAAUUUUCUCUAUGUUUAUUUGACAGCUGUCACGCAAACGAAGUAAAGGUACGUGUUUUAUCACUGGACGCAUGAAAAAGCAUUUUUCUGUUAUUUUUGACAUAUUUCGAUAAACAAUCAAACUCAGUCAUUUAAAACGAAAGAGAAGAACGAAAUAUUUCUCUCGCUAUUCGAAAUAAUGAAUGAAAAAAAUACCAAGAAAUUAUUAAAUAUAAAAAAGGAAGAAAAUUAAAAUAAUCCAACCCAAUGUGUUCACAUCAUUAAU